GCGAGAUGUCACUUAGCCUAAGCUCAAUUAGGUUAAAAAAGGGCAUAAGGCAGAGAUAAAGGUAUGACCUGGAAGGGGAACCGAAGGAAGGAAACCCUAAAAGAGGCAGCCGUCAAGGAGAAACGUUUCAGAUCUUUUUCUUUGGCUUUUGUGCAUGUAAUGACCACCAUGAGUGAGUAAUUUUUUCCUUUAAGAUUAUGAGUAAUCUAUUCAAAUUCUGAAGUAUAUUAAUGAUAAUUAUAUAUGAAUUUUU
RNAcentral lists this long non-coding RNA (253 nucleotides) under Phaseolus vulgaris (common bean). Its description in RNAcentral is "long non-coding RNA (PVUL_LNC002276)". The record is from RNAcentral. Lineage: Eukaryota; Viridiplantae; Streptophyta; Magnoliopsida; Fabales; Fabaceae.